This 77-nucleotide transfer RNA is filed under the name Candidatus Thorarchaeota archaeon. RNAcentral describes it as "tRNA-Ala". It matches the Rfam family "tRNA". Rfam says of the family: Transfer RNA (tRNA) molecules are approximately 80 nucleotides in length. Lineage: Archaea; Promethearchaeati; Candidatus Thorarchaeota. The record is from RNAcentral.
GGGCCGGUAGAUUAGCCUGGUAGAUCGUCUGGUUUGCAUCCAGAAGGUCUCGUGUUCAAAUCACGACCGGUCCACCA